Gallus gallus (chicken) is the source of this 1472-nucleotide long non-coding RNA. The record is from Ensembl. NCBI's taxonomy places the organism in Eukaryota, Metazoa, Chordata, Aves, Galliformes, Phasianidae.
CUUUGCUGGUGGUGGUGCUGUGUGGAGGGAUUGUUCUCUGCUCACAGAAAAGCCCAGCACUCUUGAAAGUCUUUGUCUUGGAACUCGUUUCCCUGGGAUCUCCCUUACCAGUGUGCCGGGUUACGUGGGAAUAUCCAUGGUGCUCAGCAAAUCCUCUUAAUGGGACAGUGUAGAAAACAAGACUUUCAGUGAAAUCGCAGGCUUCGCCCACUUCCAAAUAGACUUUCCCAACCUGUGCAUACUUCUUGUUUUCUCUUUGUCUCUUAGCAGAAUGAAGUGCCACAAGCCAAAUCCUGACCUCAUUUACACCAGUAAAAUCUGAGUCUGUUCCAGAAAACUGCUGAAGUUGUUUUGGGCUUACAGUGAUGAAAAUGAGAGCGGAAUCUGCCUCAUUAAUUCCCCCAGUCCACAGAAAGUAAAUGAAUCCAAGAGGAAAUAGCUCUUCAGAAGGGAGCCCUGGAAAGAAUUAGAGACAGACUUAAUGGGAUUAUGGGAGAAAAAUGCUUUAACAAAUCCAGAUCAAUCCUCUCUUCAAAACACUCACGGUGCCAAAUGAAUAAAAACACUGUUUUGGAAAUGAAAAGGUUAAAAAGCUAUGAAAACAAAAUCUCUCAGCCUGUUCUGAUGAUAGCAGUCCCACUGCAGAAUGAGCGCAACCCAGAAAGGCUGAGUCAGCAAUGCCCUACCUGAUGCUUUGUGUUGGUCUGUGGGACUUGGAGGGAAGAAACUCAAAUUUCCCGCUUUAACCAUGGGGUCCUUCUGUAAUUUCAGGUUUGAUAAAAGACACAUGGAGAUCAGUCAGCAUUACAAGUAGGGAUGGAAGGACAGGUCUGGCAGCCCGAAACCUUGUCACCUAGCCAGUCAGAGACAUUCAGCUUCCAGAGCCAUUCCUCCAGUCCAUGCUUUGGCUUUCUAUUCUCCUGUUAAUUACCAUCUUCUUGCCAUUCUUCACCCCCUCGAAACUGUGUAUGGCACCAGAGCUGGAUUUGCCACAAAUAUGCGUAAAAGACCCUGCUUCUGCAGUGUUGUGGGAUGUUUCAGGAGCUGCAUGUAGAUGGCCUGCCUUUGUGCAGUCGAGUGGAAGGGGGAAAAAUUCUGAGCAGCUGGCAGGAGCCAGCCUCUUCCAGCCAUGCGAGUGCACUUGUGUGCUGGUAGAAGGAAAACCAGGAAGGAGCAUAAGGCUCAUCCUGUGCCCAUUUGUAGCAGCUGGAGGCAACAUGAGCUGUUACCCACAUGUAUGCACUGCCAAUCCACAGCAAGGUGGCUUUCUCCAUUUGCCCAGCUACCCUUGGUCAACCUGAAUGAAGAGCUAGGACGAAGUAAUUAGAGCAUGGUCUUCUCUGUUUAUAUCCAAGAGCACACAGUUACCAAAGGCAAUCCUGCAUUGAGGAUGCUGACUUUCUAUUCUGAUAGUCUGAUGAUCUCUGAGGAAGAACUGGGCUUUAUGAACAGACCCCCAGGUUCCAAGGUUG